ACGGAGGGUGCGAGCGUUGUUCGGAAUUAUUGGGCGUAAAGGGCGCGUAGGCGGUUGUGUAAGUCAGAUGUGAAAUACUCCGGCUUAACCGGGGAACUGCGUUUGAAACUACACAGCUAGAGUACAGGAGAGGGAAAUGGAAUUCCCGGUGUAGAGGUGAAAUUCGUAGAUAUCGGGAGGAACACCAGUGGCGAAGGCGAUUUUCUGGCCUGAUACUGACGCUGAGGCGCGAAAGCGUGGGGAGCAAACAG
Molecule: ribosomal RNA, 251 nt
Filed under: uncultured prokaryote
Description: partial 16S rRNA
Rfam family: Bacterial small subunit ribosomal RNA
Source: RNAcentral